CCUACGGGAGGCAGCAGUGGGGAAUAUUGGACAAUGGGUGCAAGCCUGAUCCAGCCAUACCGCGUGGGUGAAGAAGGCCUUCGGGUUGUAAAGCCCUUUUGUUGGGAAAGAAAUCCUAUCGAUUAAUACUCGGUGGGGAUGACGGUACCCAAAGAAUAAGCACCGGCUAACUUCGUGCCAGCAGCCGCGGUA
This 192-nucleotide ribosomal RNA is filed under the name uncultured bacterium. RNAcentral's name for it is "partial 16S ribosomal RNA". It matches the Rfam family "Bacterial small subunit ribosomal RNA", at positions 338 to 522 of the family's 1533-position model. The record is from RNAcentral.